AUACGGAGGAUCCGAGCGUUAUCCGGAUUUAUUGGGUUUAAAGGGUGCGCAGGCGGCCAUUUAAGUCAGCGGUUAAAUCGUGGGGCUCAACCCCAUUCUGCCGUUGAUACUGGGUGGCUUGAUUGCGGUCGAGGUUGGCGGAAUUCGUUGUGUAGCGGUGAAAUGCAUAGAUAUGACGAAGAACACCGAUUGCGUAGGCAGCUGACCAGACCGCAAAUGACGCUCAUGCACGAAAGUGCGGGGAUCGAACAGGAUUAGAUACCCUGGUAGUCCGCACAGUAAACGAUGAAUACUUGUUUUCGGCGAUAUAAUGUCGGAGGCAAAGCGAAAGCGAUAAGUAUUCCACCUGGGGAGUACGUACGCAAGUAUGAAACUCAAAUGAAUUGGCGGGG
Molecule: ribosomal RNA, 392 nt
Filed under: uncultured bacterium
Lineage: Bacteria
Description: partial 16S ribosomal RNA
Rfam family: Bacterial small subunit ribosomal RNA
Source: RNAcentral